This 253-nucleotide ribosomal RNA is filed under the name uncultured bacterium. Its description in RNAcentral is "partial 16S ribosomal RNA". It matches the Rfam family "Bacterial small subunit ribosomal RNA", at positions 524 to 776 of the family's 1533-position model. The record is from RNAcentral.
UACGUAGGGGGCAAGCGUUGUCCGGAAUCAUUGGGCGUAAAGGGUGCGUAGGCGGCGCGGUAAGUCGGGUGUGAAAUCUCGGAGCUUAACUCCGAAACUGCAUUCGAUACUGCCGUGCUUGAGGACUGGAGAGGAGACUGGAAUUUACGGUGUAGCGGUGAAAUGCGUAGAUAUCGUAAGGAAGACCAGUGGCGAAGGCGGGUCUCUGGACAGUUCCUGACGCUGAGGCACGAAGGCCAGGGGAGCAAACGGG